AUUGAACGCUGGCGGCAUGCCUAACACAUGCAAGUCGAACGGCAGCGCGGGUAGCAAUACCUGGCGGCGAGUGGCGGACGGGUGAGGAAUACAUCGGAAUCUACCCAGUCGUGGGGGAUAACGCAUCGAAAGGUGCGCUAAUACCGCAUACGACCGAGAGGUGAAAGCGGAGGACCGAAAGGCUUCGCGCGAAUGGAUGAGCCGAUGUCGGAUUAGCAGUUGGCGGGGUAAGAGCCCACCAAGGCGACGAUCCGUAGCUGGUCUGAGAGGAUGAUCAGCCACACUGGGACUGAGACACGGCCCAGACUCCUACGGGAGGCAGCAGUGGGGAAUAUUGGACAAUGGGCGCAAGCCUGAUCCAGCAAUGCCGCGUGUGUGAAGAAGGCCUUCGGUUG
RNAcentral lists this ribosomal RNA (395 nucleotides) under uncultured bacterium. RNAcentral describes it as "bacterial SSU rRNA". It matches the Rfam family "Bacterial small subunit ribosomal RNA", at positions 29 to 425 of the family's 1533-position model. The record is from RNAcentral.